RNAcentral lists this ribosomal RNA (484 nucleotides) under uncultured bacterium. Its description in RNAcentral is "partial 16S ribosomal RNA". It matches the Rfam family "Bacterial small subunit ribosomal RNA", at positions 29 to 507 of the family's 1533-position model. The record is from RNAcentral.
AUUGAACGCUGGCGGCAUGCUUUACACAUGCAAGUCGAACGGCAGCGCGGGCUUCGGCAUGGCGGCGAGUGGCGAACGGGUGAGUAAUGCAUCGGAACGUGCCCAGUAGUGGGGGAUAGCCCGGCGAAAGCAGUAUUAAUACCGCAUACGACCUGAGGGUGAAAGCUGGGGACCGAAAGGCCUCGCGCUAUUGGAGCGGCCGAUGUCGGAUUAGCUAGUUGGUGGGGUAAAGGCUUACCAAGGCGACGAUCCGUAGCUGGUCUGAGAGGACGACCAGCCACACUGGGACUGAGACACGGCCCAGACUCCUACGGGAGGCAGCAGUGGGGAAUUUUGGACAAUGGGGGCAACCCUGAUCCAGCCAUGCCGCGUGCGGGAAGAAGGCCUUCGGGUUGUAAACCGCUUUUGUUCGGGAAGAAAUCCUCUGGGCUAAUACCCCGGGGGGAUGACGGUACCGGAAGAAUAAGCACCGGCUAACUACGUG